RNAcentral lists this long non-coding RNA (306 nucleotides) under Homo sapiens (human). RNAcentral's name for it is "HSALNT0066511". The record is from RNAcentral. Lineage: Eukaryota; Metazoa; Chordata; Mammalia; Primates; Hominidae.
AAAAUUAAAAAAAAAAAAAAAAGAAUAAUGAGAUCUCCCAGGGACCAGUACAGAGAGAGAAGAGAGGUGAGCACAGAGGACUGGAGCAGCUGGAGUGAUGAGGAGGAAGGCUCACAAGAGACCAAGAAGUGUGAACUGCCCACUAGGAGGAAAUCAGGAGAGUGUGGUGCCUGGGAAGCAAAGUGAAAAGAACUUCAAGAAGAGGAAGUGAUUUGUUAGGUGAGGUGCCACUGAUAGUCAAGACAAAUGAGAGGAGAGAGAGCUGGGUAGCCUCGCAGCAGAUCAGAGGAGAAGCUAGACGUGGAA